This 18-nucleotide unclassified non-coding RNA is filed under the name Chlamydomonas reinhardtii. RNAcentral's name for it is "small RNA Cre_0849". The record is from RNAcentral. Lineage: Eukaryota; Viridiplantae; Chlorophyta; Chlorophyceae; Chlamydomonadales; Chlamydomonadaceae.
CAAGCCCAAGGAGGCGGA